CGCACGGGUGAGUAACGCGUAUGCGACCUGCCCGUUGCAGGGGGGAUAAUCGGGAGAAAUCCCGUCUAAUACCGCGUAACGCCGCGGGGCUGCAUGGCCCUGCGGCCAAAGGGAGCGAUUCCGGCAACGGAUGGGCAUGCGUGACAUUAGCUAGUUGGCGGGGCAACGGCCCACCAAGGCGACGAUGUCUAGGGGUUCUGAGAGGAAGGUCCCCCACACUGGUACUGAGACACGGACCAGACUCCUACGGAAGGCAGCAG
RNAcentral lists this ribosomal RNA (260 nucleotides) under uncultured bacterium. Its description in RNAcentral is "partial 16S ribosomal RNA". It matches the Rfam family "Bacterial small subunit ribosomal RNA", at positions 99 to 354 of the family's 1533-position model. The record is from RNAcentral.